RNAcentral lists this ribosomal RNA (1372 nucleotides) under uncultured bacterium. Its description in RNAcentral is "bacterial SSU rRNA". It matches the Rfam family "Bacterial small subunit ribosomal RNA", at positions 28 to 1381 of the family's 1533-position model. The record is from RNAcentral.
GAUGAACGCUGGCGGCGUGCCUAAUACAUGCAAGUCGAGCGAACGGACGAGAAGCUUGCUUCUCUGAUGUUAGCGGCGGACGGGUGAGUAACACGUGGAUAACCUACCUAUAAGACUGGGAUAACUUCGGGAAACCGGAGCUAAUACCGGAUAAUAUUUUGAACCGCAUGGUUCAAAAGUGAAAGACGGUCUUGCUGUCACUUAUAGAUGGAUCCGCGCUGCAUUAGCUAGUUGGUAAGGUAACGGCUUACCAAGGCAACGAUGCAUAGCCGACCUGAGAGGGUGAUCGGCCACACUGGAACUGAGACACGGUCCAGACUCCUACGGGAGGCAGCAGUAGGGAAUCUUCCGCAAUGGGCGAAAGCCUGACGGAGCAACGCCGCGUGAGUGAUGAAGGUCUUCGGAUCGUAAAACUCUGUUAUUAGGGAAGAACAUAUGUGUAAGUAACUGUGCACAUCUUGACGGUACCUAAUCAGAAAGCCACGGCUAACUACGUGCCAGCAGCCGCGGUAAUACGUAGGUGGCAAGCGUUAUCCGGAAUUAUUGGGCGUAAAGCGCGCGUAGGCGGUUUUUUAAGUCUGAUGUGAAAGCCCACGGCUCAACCGUGGAGGGUCAUUGGAAACUGGAAAACUUGAGUGCAGAAGAGGAAAGUGGAAUUCCAUGUGUAGCGGUGAAAUGCGCAGAGAUAUGGAGGAACACCAGUGGCGAAGGCGACUUUCUGGUCUGUAACUGACGCUGAUGUGCGAAAGCGUGGGGAUCAAACAGGGUUAGAUACCCUGGUAGUCCACGCCGUAAACGAUGAGUGCUAAGUGUUAGGGGGUUUCCGCCCCUUAGUGCUGCAGCUAACGCAUUAAGCACUCCGCCUGGGGAGUACGACCGCAAGGUUGAAACUCAAAGGAAUUGACGGGGACCCGCACAAGCGGUGGAGCAUGUGGUUUAAUUCGAAGCAACGCGAAGAACCUUACCAAAUCUUGACAUCCUUUGACAACUCUAGAGAUAGAGCCUUCCCCUUCGGGGGACAAAGUGACAGGUGGUGCAUGGUUGUCGUCAGCUCGUGUCGUGAGAUGUUGGGUUAAGUCCCGCAACGAGCGCAACCCUUAAGCUUAGUUGCCAUCAUUAAGUUGGGCACUCUAAGUUGACUGCCGGUGACAAACCGGAGGAAGGUGGGGAUGACGUCAAAUCAUCAUGCCCCUUAUGAUUUGGGCUACACAUGUGCUACAAUGGACAAUACAAAGGGCAGCGAAACCGCGAGGUCAAGCAAAUCCCAUAAAGUUGUUCUCAGUUCGGAUUGUAGUCUGCAACUCGACUACAUGAAGCUGGAAUCGCUAGUAAUCGUAGAUCAGCAUGCUACGGUGAAUACGUUCCCGGGUCU